Molecule: ribosomal RNA, 429 nt
Filed under: uncultured Coxiella sp.
Lineage: Bacteria; Pseudomonadati; Pseudomonadota; Gammaproteobacteria; Legionellales; Coxiellaceae
Description: bacterial SSU rRNA
Rfam family: Bacterial small subunit ribosomal RNA
Source: RNAcentral
UGGGGAAUAUUGGACAAUGGGGGCAACCCUGAUCCAGCAAUGCCGCGUGUGUGAAGAAGGCCUUCGGGUUGUAAAGCACUUUCAGUGGGGAAGAAAUACUUAAGAUUAAUAUUCUUGAGAGUUGACGUUACCUACAGAAGAAGCACUGGCUAACUCUGUGCCAGCAGCCGCGGUAAUACAGAGAGUGCAAGCGUUAAUCGGAAUUACUGGGCGUAAAGAGCACGUAGGUGGAUACUUUAGUCGGAUGUGAAAGCCCCGAGCUUAACUUGGGAAUUGCACCCGAUACUGGGUAUCUAGAGUAUGGUAGAGGGAAGUGGAAUUUCCGGUGUAGCGGUGAAAUGCGUAGAUAUCGGAAGGAACACCAGUGGCGAAGGCGGCUUCCUGGACCAAUACUGACACUGAGGUGCGAAAGCGUGGGGAGCAAACAGG